Molecule: ribosomal RNA, 369 nt
Filed under: Calofulcinia sp. MN251
Lineage: Eukaryota; Metazoa; Arthropoda; Insecta; Mantodea; Nanomantidae
Description: partial 12S ribosomal RNA
Source: RNAcentral
AUUAUUUUUAAUGUAAAAAGGGGAAACUAGAGUAGUAUGAGUUAUGAUCUUGAAACUUAAAGAAUUUGGCGGUAUUAUAGUCUAUUUAGAGGAAUCUGUUAUGUAAUUGAUAAUCCGCGUUGAACCUUACUUAUAUUUUUUUUUGUAUAUCGCUGUUUGGUGAGUAUAUUUUUAGGGGAUUUUCUAGAUAAAUUAUUAAUUAAUAUUUCAAGUCAAGGUGCAGUAAUGUAUAAGGUGAAUAAUGGAUUACAUUAAAUUGUAUUUAUUAUGGAUAAAUUUGUGUAAAUAACUUUUGAAGGUGAAUUUAAUUGUAAUAGUUAAAAGAUUAUAAUGAUGAUUUAUGGCUCUAUAAUAUGUACACAUCGCCCG